RNAcentral lists this microRNA precursor (64 nucleotides) under Gyrodactylus salaris (gyrodactylosis fluke). Its description in RNAcentral is "microRNA gsa-mir-9394b precursor". The record is from miRBase by way of RNAcentral. Lineage: Eukaryota; Metazoa; Platyhelminthes; Monogenea; Gyrodactylidea; Gyrodactylidae.
AGAGGAAUCUGGAUCAGUGGCAUUGGCUUGCCAAUAUUCUUGUCGCGAGUUCGAUUCCUCCCUA